Cyprinus carpio carpio is the source of this 732-nucleotide long non-coding RNA. The record is from Ensembl. Lineage: Eukaryota; Metazoa; Chordata; Actinopteri; Cypriniformes; Cyprinidae.
UCAUGUGCUGAUCGUCAGACACUUCAGGAUUAAAGGCCUGUUUCAAGCGGUCUUGGGAUGCCAGCGGGCCGCUCGUGUCAAGACCUGCCACAUUCACCUUCACGUCCUCCACCGCAAAACACAGAAUCAGAGCAAAGUUCAGCUUUAUCCCAGUCACACUCGGAGAAUGAAGACCAAUCAGAAGUCAGUAUGCAAAUACCACGAUGAUGUCAUCACUGCUGGAUACAUUUGAAAGGUGAAGAUUCUAUCAGGGCCAGAGAUCAUGUUGCUGGCGGGAAGUGAGAGUCCUCCAGAGAAACCUGAGGUCAAUCUGACACGAGAUCAGCAGCAGAGCAAACGGAGAGCUCUGAUUCUGCAGCCAAACCCCGCUGAUACUGUCAGCGCAGCGACACGUUGAGUGGAAAUGACCGCGGCGACGCCCUCACGCUGGGAUUCUUCUCUUCCCCUGCCGCAACAAUUGAUGUGAAGAGAGGAUCGGGUUCUCCGUCCGUGCUCAGCAUGACGGUCAUCUUCAGGAGUGAACGUCUGAGAGGAACCAUUGAUUGUCCAGAUGACAGAUGCUACGUGUCACACGGACUGAACUGCUUCCUGUUACAGCAGAGCGUGUGUGUGUUUGGAGUGGGACGAUUGAGCUGGGAACACUGUUCAGAUGUAUCCUAUUCUUCUGUAAUGCAAUCCUUAUGUGUUUACUGAAAUGAACUACAGUUUACUGAUGUGUAGGGCUCAAAAAUA